GGGCUCAUCCACUUGCAGAGCCUGGCCUGACUUCAUUGGCUGUGACAGAUGCUUCUCUCUCCCAUCUCCCAAGGGCCCUGAGAAACUUCCGUAGUUCUGAUGGGUUUUCCUAAUGCCACCUGCUUCGGCAAACAGCCUGGGGCCCAUCGGGAGGAAAGAAAGGCCCUGUCUUCUCAGUCAGUCCUGAGAAACUACGAACCCAAAAGGUGUUGACCCCAAGCAGCCCACUUGGAGCUGCGGGAGCUGGCUGUCACUCCCCACCACACUGUUACAUCCUCUGAUGAAAACACCUCCCUUCUCGGUCUUCUGACUCCAUCCAAGAAGCUGUCACCCAUGACUUGCUUCGAAACCCUAGCUCUGCCGCUUACCAGGAACCUCACCUGGGCCCCACAGCCAGGAAGAGGCUCCAGGCCUUGGGGCAAUUCUGACAGCCCUGGGUUGGGUCACCUGAUGGCCACUCCUGCAAAGGCUUCUGGGAACUAACCACUGGACUCUGAAGACCAGACAACUUCUCUGCAUGGUGGCCACUGCCUGCUGGUGUGAAGCUGCUGAGACCUCAGAGCCUGAGGGCAGGGCAGGCUGGUGGGCCUGCCAGCUGCCCCUUCCUCCCCUCUCCCCGAGCCCCAUAUUCUCCCCUGGGACCUGGAGUGGGGAAACUGAGGCUUUUCCAUACUCUUCCCCAGGGGGAAUAGCACGCAGCU
Talpa occidentalis (Iberian mole) is the source of this 701-nucleotide long non-coding RNA. RefSeq lists it as uncharacterized. The record is from RefSeq and is a predicted model, not a curated record. The transcript is spliced from 3 exons. NCBI's taxonomy places the organism in Eukaryota, Metazoa, Chordata, Mammalia, Eulipotyphla, Talpidae.